Long non-coding RNA from Hibiscus syriacus, 142 nucleotides. RefSeq lists it as uncharacterized. NCBI's taxonomy places the organism in Eukaryota, Viridiplantae, Streptophyta, Magnoliopsida, Malvales, Malvaceae. The transcript has 3 exons. The record is from RefSeq and is a predicted model, not a curated record.
AGGCCAAUAGGCUAAGUAGAGAAAAACUUACGAGAUUAACAGGAGCUUUGACAUGUUUAACAAGAGCAGAAGAGCACUGGUCGUCUCUGAUGUCGUGCCUGUGGUGUUUCCAUAUGUAUUGCGCCUCCAUCAUACCGUAAGC